UGGGGGGAGGGGUGGGCAGGUUGACAAGGUUGAGUAUUGGGGCUCAUUAGAGUUGCCACCAUGUUUUUGGAAAAAGAAAGAAAAAUUAGAAAAUAUUAUGCUAAAAGAUUGGACAAAACCAAGGAACAAGAACAGCUAAAAGUAUAAAAGGUGAAGGGUUAACACUUGUUGUCCCCAACCAUACUUACUCUCUUAAGGGUAGGUAUCAGGUGCUACUAAUGAACACUAUUUCAGGUGGCAUUCAUUAGU
RNAcentral lists this long non-coding RNA (249 nucleotides) under Phoenix dactylifera (date palm). RNAcentral's name for it is "long non-coding RNA (PDAC_LNC004266)". The record is from RNAcentral. Lineage: Eukaryota; Viridiplantae; Streptophyta; Magnoliopsida; Arecales; Arecaceae.